Long non-coding RNA from Magnolia sinica, 1761 nucleotides. RefSeq lists it as uncharacterized. The record is from RefSeq and is a predicted model, not a curated record. NCBI's taxonomy places the organism in Eukaryota, Viridiplantae, Streptophyta, Magnoliopsida, Magnoliales, Magnoliaceae. The transcript is spliced from 3 exons.
UCUGGUUUAGAUCUUCGUUACAGCAAGCAAAUCGGAGUCAGGUAGUUGGAAGGAUUUCCAGUUUGAGGUUGGUCUCUAUUGGCAAGGUGAAGAAUGUCAACUUCCCAUCUCUGCGGACCUCCUGAUUCUAGAUCUGUUGUGUGGCCAAAAAGGAGACAGUUGACAAAGUCUGUGAGAUUGUGAGGAAAUAACUAUGCUUGCCUGCCGAGAUAAGUUUUUUUUUUUUUUUUAAGAAGAAAAGGUCAUGAAAAUUAUGUCUCAUGAAAAUUAUGCAUAUAUACCCACUUUGUGAAGAGAAUGGAGAUCUCAUGAACUCUUAUUGGCUGAAGAUAUGGGACCCAAUCCUUAAAUGAUGGGACCCAUUGGUUACUGCACAAGUCCUAAACCUAGAAACGGGUGGUUUUAAUUGUUUUGUCAGUCCUCAACUCUUCAACGUAGUAUUUUUGUUACAUUGCAUUGUUAUUUAUCAUUUUCGUAUGUAUGUUACCCAUGUUAAAAUUUGAAACUUUCAGAUUAUAUGACUUAAUUGUUGAAAUUUUAUACAUCAGUACUAUCGAACAUUGCCAAAAUGACGAGGGGAAUAUCAUGAGACUAGUGAUCACAUUGGGAGAGGUUUUGUUAUAUUUUCUGUUAUUCCUUGUAAUGGGGAUCCUGAUACCCUUUUAUAAACUUCAAUCCACAACCCCAACAGUCAAUCAUCAACUCUCCCAAGGUGCAAUGGUCUUCAUUUGGGAAAUGUUAAUUCACUUCACAAUCUCAUAAGCUCAGUUGGCCACUCAGAACAGAGGCCAUUGCUGCACAAGAGCUAGAAUAUACAAACAUCAGGUAUUCAAACAUUCCACUAUUUUAACCUUAACUUGUAGCUGACUGUAGUUUGGAUCACAGCUUAGAUUAUUAUCAGAUUACACAGGUAGUUUAUAGCAGAGUUGUCAGAGGGUCUGAUGUAACGUGUCACAAAUACGUUCCUAGCAUGGUUGGGCCAAAAGAAAGUCUCUGUAUGUUUUGUUCUUACUCUAUGUUAUUUGACUAUUCAUGUAUUAUCUUGAUUGUUUUUUGAAAGUUUUGAGUUUGUUGUUUAUUCCAUGCAGGAACCUGCAUCAGAGAUACAGGACAAGAUUUUAUUUAUGAUUAAUAAUAUUUCAUCUUUAAAUAUGGAUGUGAAAGCAAAAUAAUUUAGUGAUUUCCUGCGAGAGCGGUACUAUCCAUGAUUUGCUCAGUAUAUGGUGAUGAAAAGGACCAUCAGAAUGUGAGAUUACUGUGGCAUGACUUGAAGAAAGGUGAUUUCUAUCAUCUAAUGGCAACUCCAAAGUCCUUACACUUAUCAUCUAGGUCUUGCCAUCCAAUAAUAUGUUGGCCCCUAUCUUUAUGGAGACAACAACACAAGGCUCUUCACUUAUUGGACUGUAAGUUUAUACUUCUUUCAUUUUUAAAAAUCUUUUAUUACCCUUUAUUAUGAUUCAUGUUUCCUUUACGAGUGAUGAGCUCUCUCAAAUGACAUGGGUUAUUUGUAUUUUAUUUGUUUCUAUUGGAAGUUAGGUCUCAAGUAACAUGGAUUUUUUGUGUCUCUCAUUUUCUUUUUUGCUCCCUUUUCUUCACUCCCUGUAGUAACAUGUGCAUGUACUCCUUUUCUCCUUUUUAGAGGUUUUGACUACUCAUUUUCCUUUCUAUUAUGCAACUAUAACACCAAUCGGCUUUUCCACGGUCACAAUUCCAUUUUCUAAACCUUGCUAUGUUAAAUUUUUUCCUUCAAAUCAGUUAGUG